This 91-nucleotide transfer RNA is filed under the name Thomasclavelia spiroformis. RNAcentral describes it as "[Clostridium] spiroforme tRNA-Ser". It matches the Rfam family "tRNA". Rfam says of the family: Transfer RNA (tRNA) molecules are approximately 80 nucleotides in length. Their secondary structure includes four short double-helical elements and three loops (D, anti-codon, and T loops). Further hydrogen bonds mediate the characteristic L-shaped molecular structure. tRNAs have two regions of fundamental functional importance: the anti-codon, which is responsible for specific mRNA codon recognition, and the 3' end, to which the tRNAs corresponding amino acid is attached (by aminoacyl-tRNA synthetases). tRNAs cope with the degeneracy of the genetic code in two manners: having more than one tRNA (with a specific anti-codon) for a particular amino acid; and 'wobble' base-pairing, i.e. permitting non-standard base-pairing at the 3rd anti-codon position. Lineage: Bacteria; Bacillati; Bacillota; Erysipelotrichia; Erysipelotrichales; Coprobacillaceae. RNAcentral also lists the same sequence under 2 other names. The record is from RNAcentral.
GGAGGAUUGAGCCAAGUUGGACUAAUGGCAGCACUCUUGAAAAGUGUAGGUCGCUUAAAACGGCGUGGGGGUUCGAGUCCCUCAUCCUCCG